GAUGAACGCUGGCGGCGUGCCUAAUACAUGCAAGUCGAGCGAACAGACGAGGAGCUUGCUCCUUGGACGUUAGCGGCGGACGGGUGAGUAACACGUAGGUAACCUACCUAUAAGACUGGGAUAACUUCGGGAAACCGGAGCUAAUACCGGAUAAGAUUUCGAACCGCAUGGUUCGAUAGUGAAAGAUGGCUUUGCUAUCACUUAUAGAUGGACCUGCGCCGUAUUAGCUAGUUGGUAAGGUAACGGCUUAUCAAGGCAACGAUACGUAGCCGACCUGAGAGGGUGUUCGGCCACCCUGGAACUUGGGCGCGGUCCAGACUCCUACGGGAGGCAGCAGUAGCGACUCUUCCGCAAUGGGCGAAAGCCUGACGGAGCGACGCCGCGUGAGUGAUGAAGGUCUUCGGAUCGUAAAACUCUCUUAUUAGGGAUGAACAAACUUGUAAGUUACUGUACACGGCUUGACGGUACCUAAUCAGAAAGCCACGGCUAACUACGUG
This 497-nucleotide ribosomal RNA is filed under the name uncultured bacterium. RNAcentral describes it as "partial 16S ribosomal RNA". It matches the Rfam family "Bacterial small subunit ribosomal RNA", at positions 28 to 507 of the family's 1533-position model. The record is from RNAcentral.